This 253-nucleotide ribosomal RNA is filed under the name uncultured bacterium. RNAcentral's name for it is "partial 16S ribosomal RNA". It matches the Rfam family "Bacterial small subunit ribosomal RNA", at positions 524 to 776 of the family's 1533-position model. The record is from RNAcentral.
UACGGAGGGAGCUAGCGUUGUUCGGAAUUACUGGGCGUAAAGCGCACGUAGGCGGCUUUGUAAGUUAGAGGUGAAAGCCCGGGGCUCAACUCCGGAACUGCCUUUAAGACUGCAUCGCUUGAAUCCGGGAGAGGUGAGUGGAAUUCCGAGUGUAGAGGUGAAAUUCGUAGAUAUUCGGAAGAACACCAGUGGCGAAGGCGGCUCACUGGACCGGCAUUGACGCUGAGGCGCGAAAGCCAGGGGAGCAAACGGG